UCUACUACUUCCGGUUAGAAUUCGAAGUGCAGAUCGAUGCACACAUGAGCUGUGUUCCAAAGUUGAGUGUGCACACUUCGGAGGCCACGGACUUCAAAGACCAGGCCUCCGAAGUGCACGAAGGGUCCUCCCAAGUGCGUGAAGCACGCUCCGCUUUAGCAGGAUUUCCUAAUUGCGACACUAGAGGUUCCCAUUAGCACUCUGUCGCAUAGCAACUGUGCAAGAGGAGAGCAGACGAGAAGACAAUCCUAGGUGGAGCCAGAAUUGCUAAUUUUUGUUUUUAUGUUUUAUGCUGUUUUUUAUACAGUCUAUGGUUUUAUGUCAUAAUGGAAGAGACGGUGAUGUACCCCAGGCUUAGCCAAAACAGAGGCCAGACCAGACCCCUAUACUGCAGGAUAACGCUUAAUGUGCCAGCACUGGACAGGUUUUUAAUGCUUUUUAGCUGAACAGGGAGGCCCUGAGAGUGCUGCUGGAUCUUCUGAGAAGUGAACGUCAACAGUGAUGGGGUGCCACAAUCCAGACCCUGGUGUUUCUUUUCUGUCUGCCAGCGAUCACACAGAGUGGUCUCCAGAGUGUUUGACAUGUGCCUCCUUCCACUGACUGCAUUGUCCUCCGAGUCGCUGAGGAGGUGCUGGCCAUUCACCAAGAGAUUCACCUCCUCAAGACCCCAGAGCACAUGGAGGCAGGGCUGGGCUCAAAGUGAUGUUGUUUUUCUGAUGUUAAACCUAAGCUAUGUUGUAAAUAGUUCUAAACAGUACUUUCAGUAAUGUAUUGUACUAUUUGUUUUAAUGUGUAAAAAAUCUAUUUAUAGGA
Cyprinus carpio (common carp) is the source of this 813-nucleotide long non-coding RNA. RefSeq lists it as uncharacterized. NCBI's taxonomy places the organism in Eukaryota, Metazoa, Chordata, Actinopteri, Cypriniformes, Cyprinidae. The record is from RefSeq and is a predicted model, not a curated record. The transcript has 2 exons.